Bicyclus anynana (squinting bush brown) is the source of this 11900-nucleotide RNA transcript. It is a transcript of the gene named sorting nexin-27, with no coding region annotated. The record is from RefSeq and is a predicted model, not a curated record. Lineage: Eukaryota; Metazoa; Arthropoda; Insecta; Lepidoptera; Nymphalidae. The transcript is spliced from 10 exons.
GUAGUCUGUGGUGUGGGUGACAUAAAAUGUCAUGUCUGCUGGAAAUUGUCCAAAAUGGCCGAGACAGAAACUGAUAAUAACAGUAUUGUACGGCCCGAAAAAAAUAAUAAGGGCUUAGUGACUAAUAAUGGGCCCCGUCGCGUUACCAUAUACAAAACAGAGACCGGCUUCGGUUUCAACGUUCGCGGUCAAGUUUCCGAGGGUGGGCAGUUGAGAUCGAUCAAUGGUGAACUGUAUGCACCUUUGCAGCAUGUUAGCGCAGUUCUGGAGCAAGGUGCAGCUGAGCAGGCCGGCAUACGAAAAGGGGACAGGAUCCUAGAAGUAAAUGGAGUGAAUGUAGAGGGCGCUACACACAAGCAAGUAGUUGAUCUGAUAAAGUCGGGCGGUGACUGCCUCACUCUAACAGUUAUCUCAGUCACACAAAAAGAAGCGGAGCGCCUGGAGCCAUGCGACGACGGCUCAGCGCCGGUGGGCGUGAUCGGCGGCGCCGCCAACUCGCGCGCGACGGUGUACCAGCGGUACGACUACACGGACAAGCGCUCGCUGCCCGUGUCCGUGCCCGACUACCGCGUGGUGAUGGAGCGCAACACGGGCCGCUCGUACGUCGCCUUCAACGUGCACAUGGCGGGCCGGCACCUGUGCAGCCGCCGCUACCGGGAGUUCGCGGCGCUGCACCAGCUGCUGCGCAAGGAGUUCUUGGGUUUUAACUUCCCGAAACUGCCGGGUAAAUGGCCGUUCACACUGAGCGAGCAGCAGUUAGACGCCAGAAGACGAGGUCUUGAACAGUAUUUAGAAAAGGUGUGCGCAGUCCGUGUGAUAGCGGAAUCUGACGCCGUACAGGAGUUCCUCACUGACUCCGAUGACUCCUCGAACCCCUCACCUGUGGAGCUGAAGGUGCUGGUCCCGGAGCGCGAGGUGGUGUCGGUGUCGGUGCUGAAGUCCACCAACGCGGACGACGUGUAUCGCGCCGUCUGCGAAAAGAUCGGCCUCUCCAAAUCCGUGCAGAGCUACUUCUACUUGUUCGAGAUCGUCGAGUAUAACUUCGAACGCAAGCUGCAGCCCAACGAGUGCCCGCACUCGCUGUACAUCCAGAACUACUCGACGGCGUCCAGCUCGUGCCUGGCCGUGCGCAAGUGGCUCUUCAACCCCGAGCGAGAGAUCUCCGUCGUCAAGGAGGACGACAAGGCUGCGGCCUUCAUAUUCUGGCAGGCUGUGGAGGACGUGAACCGCGGCGUGUGCGUGGCGGGCGCGCGGCUGUACCAGCUGAAGGCGCUGCAGGAGGUGCGGCGCGCGCCCGACUACCUCGCGCUGGCGCGGACUCUGCCCGGCUACGGCGACAUCGCCUUCCCGCCGGCGCGCACUGACUGCCGGGCCACGCCCGUCGUCGCCGUCACUGUUGGCUGGAAUGGCGUGAAGCUGUCGGCGUGGUGCGAAAGCGAAGGCGCGUGCGCGGGCGCGUCUGCCAGCGUGUCGUGGCGAGACGUGCGCGAGUGGCGCGCCGACGACGACGCGGCCGCCGCGCGCCUCACCUACCGCCGCCGCGAGCGCGCGCCGCGCACGCUGGCGCUCUACACGCCAUACGUAACUGUUCAACUGUCACAGUCUAGCUAGCUCUGCGAGCGUGUCGUGCGCGACGUGCGCGAGUGGCGCGCCGACGACGACGCGGCCGCCGCGCGCCUCACCUACCGCCGCCGCGAGCGCGCGCCGCGCACGCUGGCGCUCUACACGCCAUACGUAACUGUUCAACUGUCACAGUCUAGCUAUACUAAUAGCAUUAACAACUGAGUCUUAGGGCCAUAAAUCAUUUCUCUAUAUCUAUCUCGCUUGCACUUAUGGGUCUUAUGGAGCCGUCUAGUGAAGGGUGUAACAAUGAAAGACAUAUUAUCGAUAAGUAAAGUUUAUUAUCGUAUCUUGUUCACAAAAUUAAAAAAAUUAACAAUAUUUGAUUUAAUAUAAUACAUAUUUCAUAUUAUAUAAUUAUUAACUAAAUAAAAUUAAUCUUCAUCUGAGUCUUCAUCAUCAGAAUCUUCGUCUUCUGCCAAAUUUAUUAUAUAUUAGUAUCCAUAGUGCGCAACGAGUAACACAUGAAUGUAUUUAUUUAAUUGCAGUAAACACAUUUAUAGCAAAAAAAAUACGCAAUGCAAUUACAUUAGAAACCGACCAAUCAGAAUCGUCCAAAUCAUUAUUGACUCAUCAUUAGCACGUGCGCAGGUAGCCGUUUAUCGAUAAUUAGGGUGCGCAGGUAGGCGCGCUGCACAUUCCUAUCUUUUUUGACUUUUAUGACCGGACGACUCAGAUGAUAAUGCGCAUACUAUAGCUCUGCGAGCGUGUCGUGCGCGACGUGCGCGAGUGGCGCGCCGACGACGACGCGGCCGCCGCGCGCCUCACCUACCGCCGCCGCGAGCGCGCGCCGCGCACGCUGGCGCUCUACACGCCAUACUACCAAUUCCUAUGCAACUGCAUGGAUCGGAUAGCGGAGGAAGCGAACUGGGUGGACACCGGAGAAUAAAUCGCCCAACGGCACCUUCUAGAGUGUAAGUAAACCGACGGUAUUACGCCAUAGCACGCCGCCAUUUUGGAGACAUUUUUUUUAUUCCUACAGCAGCAAAAAAAUAAUAACCAACAACUUUUUUAUUGUUGUUAUUACAAUUCGUUGAAACUCAUGAUUGUUUUUUCGCCACGAAAGUUGUAACAAUUAAACGUAUAAUUUUUUAAUGAUGCAAGUUGAAAUGCAAAUCUUCCUAUUUAGUUUAAGAUAAAACAUCUUGAAAUCAUCUUUACGAAAAUUGUUAUAUUUGAGAAAAAUAGUAAUAGUUAUUUGUUACGCUUAAAAGUUAUUGAUCCUUGCAAAUUUUGAAUUAUGGAUUCUAAGAUUGAAUCACGAUUUAAAAAUAGAAUCUUGAGCAUAGAUAAAUUAGCAUUUAAAAAUAAGAGAGUGGGUUGUUCAAAAAUAGAAACUUGAGCAAUGCGAGGGAUUUAACGGAACGAGAUGUAAAUAGUUUUUAGCCUUUCAUUUUCCUUUUUAGUUGUUGUUCGGUUGUCUUCCUUUAUUUUAAUAUUUCAAUUAUCUGUUUUAACUAUUAAAAUAAAAAUUAAGUCGAAAUAUGGUAUAUACAAGUGCAAAAUCAAAUGUAUUUUGCACUUGUAUAUGUAUAUGGAAUUCACUUUCUGCACUAGAAUAUAAAACAGAGGUUUGUGUGCUGAUUUCUAUUCUCCUUGGAAGUAAUGCUUUUGACCCAGCGAUAUGAACUCUUGUAAAGUAACUUCUAGUUUUGUCUAAUAUCUAAUAACACUUCAAAACUGAGGUGAAUAUGUUUUAACCUAGUAUUUUUAAAAUUUCAUCUAUGGACUGGACUAUAGACUUUAUUAACUUUCGUGAUCGAAAGAACGAAUAUAAUAUUAUUUCGCUUUUUUAUAACAAGAUUGGGAAGAAGACGAAAGUACUUGAUUUUUACUGCUGUAAUUUUUGUGUAAAUUGUAGAGUUUUUACCAAAAUGGUGGCGUCAAGAUCCUAACUAGUGUUACGUAUCAUAUACAGGGUGUCUUUUUUUUAAAUUGACAUUAUGGUUGAAUUUUUAAAUCUCAGAAGAUUUGGUUGGACUUAAUCCGAAAAUAUACGUAUUUAUUGUUAUUUGAUAUUAUGAUGAAUAUUUAUAAGAAGUUAUUGAUAUUUCAAUCCAGUUGUAUGGAUCGUGGACAGGAUUGUAAAGGUGCGUAUAUUUUUGGGUAUGUUGAUGAACCGACGAAAAUUAUUACUUGAUUUUUGAAAAAUCAUGUAAGUAUCUUAAACUGAAAUCAAGCUUAUAGGAUUUAAAAAGCACUUCAAUAUAAGAAUUGUUAAUUUUGCAUAGUAAUGCAAAUUUUUAACAUAAAAACUAAAAAGAUUUCAUUAUUUAUUUAAAGAAUUCUCCAUGAUGUAUUAAAAUAGGACACGCUGUAUAAACAUUGUAAUUAAUGUGAUUGGUUUUUAAGAAUGAAUUAAUUAUUUAACAAUUAUUGGGAAUAUUUUAUACUAUGUCUGUGGUUUUUUUAGGGUUGCCAUGGUGACCAUGACACUGUGAUAGGUUUUUUGUGUAUUUUAUUGGUAUCUUGAAUAUUUAUGCGACAGGACAGAAGAAAAGUCGAAUUAUGAAGCUUGAAAGGCAGACUCGAUUAUGUGGUUUGCGUAUGAACAUUGAAUAAACAUUGGCACUCAUAUUUAAUUAAAUUUAUUUAUAAUUAAAGAAUUUAAUGCAAUUUGAACAAUUAAAGUAAAUUGCUUUUGGAAUUUGAGCAAUUCGCUUUAACUUUAUAAUUAUUAUUAAUGAAUGAGUUAUCUCGGACUCCGAAAUGACAAUUGAUUAGAACACGAUUAUUGUACUUACAAGAUUUUAUACAUAAUAAUGAAAUAUAUUACAAUUAAUGAAUUAAUUAUUAUUAUUCAUUAAUAUUAUUGCAGUUUUAGUAACCUUUUUAAAGACAUCAAGGUCUAAGGCACCUGUGUGUACAGUAAACUAUUAUAAUCAUUAUGUUUAGUAAGACAUAAGUGCGAAUAUCGUUUUGUCUCAUUUAUAGAGUAAGAUUACACGUUAGGUAAAUGUCGCGCGACAAAAUGUUUUCCGAUAAAUUGUCUUCACCCUACAGUAGUAAAUCUAGGUAAUUCAAGGGUGAGCUUACAAUUCUGUGAAUAUGACCACGUGUUCAUUAGCAAAAUUAAAAUCGUGAUAUUUUUUUUUUUAAGUAUAAAAAAUAUCAGAUUUGACUUUACAAAAUGUUUACUAAUGAAUACGCGGCUUAACUGAAGCCAUAUUUGACAAUUUUCACAUAAAACUAUUGUCGAAUUAAAAAAAUAUCAAUUUAAUAAUUAACCUCUAUAAUAUUAUCAUUUUAUAAGAGUAUAUUUGUUUAAACCAAUCCAUUAUCCAGUCCUUAUAUUGCUAAUAAAAAGUUUUUCAUUAGUGAAGUUAUAAAAAAAGAAGUAAAACAUACUUAAAUAUCAGUAUAUUGUAGUGUUUGUCAACAAGCAUGUACUGUUAUCGAUUAGACUAUUAAAUCAUUAAUUAAUACUGAUAGUUAUCAUAUAAUAUUUAUUGUGCGAAGUCCGUUUUGGCAUUCAAUAUAGGUACGUACUUAGCAGCUUUUUAUCGACAUCGAUGUUGUAUUAUGGAUGUACUAUAAUUUAUAUGAGGCUUUUGCUUUGGUAUUAGUGAGGUGUACAGAUAGACGUUGAUCAGGUCGUUGGUGUGAAACUGAAGUAGCGUCAGCAAACCAAAUGUAUACCACAUUUAGAAACCAGAAGGUAAAUUUGAAUAAACAAAGAAUUACAAAUCAUUUAAUUACUUUACGUACGUACUUUGUACAUCGAUCUCCUAUUAAAAAGUGGAUGCACAAUCAGCCACCAAAAAACGUCCCCACUCAAUGAGUGCCAAACACAACUUCUUGGCACUCAAUUCAAGUAGUCGCAUUUGCAAAUUCAACCUUAAACUCAAUUCUUAAUUGAAUUUGCUCUGAAUUUGGGAUUUUAUUGAAUAUUCCAACUUGUAGAAACAAAAAACUUCGAGCUAAAAGAGAUUUCCGUAUUUUUAACCAGAAAUUUUAGAACUGAUGGGCAGCAGAAAUAAGCAUAGUGGUAAUAAGUCCCAGAACGAUCUCUGUCAAGUCACGUUACAAUAACGAUCAGAGCGAAGCCCUCAUCAUUAGGACAUCUAUAACUAUUCAAAUCGAACUAAUCUCAUUAAUUAUUAACAUUUUAAUAUAAAACUUAGUUAUAAAUUGAACGGUACAUACCUAUACGCCAAUUAAACAUGACAAUUUUGACGAAAAGGUCUUCGUAUUAAAAUAAUUAUCUAAUGAUAGGAAUUUAGUGAAAAUUAAUAAAUCAUUAGCUCUUUGUAAACAAAAUAUAUCGGUAACUAAUUAAUUUUAUUGAUAAACAAUUUUAUACUUCGGUAACUAUAACUUUAAAUAUUUAUGAACAUUUCACUUUAUUUCAAUGAUGACCAAUUUUUAUUUCGUUGACUAAUUUUUUUGUUUUGGAAACAUGUCCCAAUUUUUUAUAUCGGUAAAUAAAAUGAUAAAUAAGUUUUUCUAACGAAUCAAAUAAAAAUAAACACAACUAACUGUUAAUGUUACGUUUAACGCGACUAAAUAACGCUAAUUUUAUUAAUGAAUCAUUAAAAAAAUAGGAAAUUAUUGUUAACUUUUAUUUAAAGAGGCUUCUAAAGCAGUAAAACGGACGUUGUAUGUAAAGUAAAUGAAAAAUAAAUGAAUAAAUAAUGAUUUGCAUUAACAUAUAUUUUCAUUGGCAACUAUUUUUUUCUUUUUAUUUUCGUCUGAUUUUAGUAGGCAUAUGUUAAAAAUAUAAAUACGAAAACUACUGAAUGCUAUGUCAAAAGUAUAUUUGUAAAUGCCUUAUUGUGGCGUUUUCACAUUAUUCAAUUCUAUAUCUGUAAUGGCAGUGAAAAUUUUCGAUUAUUUAUAAAAAUAAACAGCAACAAAAUACAAAUUAAUGUAUUCGUAAAACGCGAAAGAAGUACAACUUCUUCGGUUUAUAUUCAUACGCCUGAAAGAACUUUUUCUUAUAAAAUCGUAUAUCAGUUACAUUUUGAUAUCGUAUCGCAUUAUGAGAAAACUAUUUUUAGAUUUUUUUUUAAAUUUUAUAUUAUAAACAGUAUUAUGUUUAAAAGAUGUAUAACAAUUUCAUAAAAAUGUAGGUGCCAUAAAGCAUCAAAUUUGCUAUGCGUUUUAAUUUUUUUUUAUAUAAAAGUGUUAAAAGCUUAAGCGAUUUGUUGAAUUAUAUUGAUCUAAUACAUUUAGCAUGCUUUGUCUAAACACAGUAUUUAUAAACAAUUCUAAAACAUAAAUAUAUAACUGUAGAAUCUCGGCAAAUCUAACUUGUAGAAACAAAAAACUUCGAGCUAAAAGUGAUUUCCGUAUUUUUAACCAGAAAUAAGCAUAGUGGUAAUAAGUCCCAGAACGAUCUCUGUCACAGCAUCCUUCUAAAUCUAUUUUAAUAUAUAAAUAUGAAAGGUCAUUCAUCACGAAAUCUCGAAAAUCGCUUGACGUAUGAAGAUGAAAUUUGGCAGAGAGGUAGCUUAUACUUAGUAGGUGUCCGCUAAGAACGGAUUUUGCGAUAGGGCCGGAUUAAGAAGGUCUAAGAGCAGACGAAGUUUUGAUAUAAGUAUCGACUUACCGAGGUUCUACAUUAUAUAGCUGACCAUAUUGUGAUUGUUCAUGUAUUAUUACGUUUUAUUUUAGCCCAUGUAUAUAGAUAUAUUAAUAUUAUAUGUAUAACAUAUUACAUUGUACUGUUAUAGUUUAUAAGUGAUUUUAAUUAUUAGUUGAUGACAUAUGACAAGUACUUAGAAUUUAAUCUAUUAUUCAUGUGUAACGGGAUUAUUUUACUUAUAAAACUUUGGUACUUUUAAUAGGCAUUAUGUCCCAUUUAUAUUUUUCUAUAAAUUCUAUUUAAGGCGAGUUCACAUUAUGUAACAUAAUAGAAUGUUAUAUUGUAUUUGUAUUGUGACCCUGGAUGAUAGACGAUUUAAAGGCAAAAUUUCGUGUGAAUUAUUUUCUCGUGGUCUGACUUUGGUAGUGGUUACCACCUCACCAGUAAAAUCAUAUCGCCAAGCGAUUUAACAUUCCGUUUUAAUGUGUAACCAAAGUCAAAUGAAAAUCGGUUUUAAUGGAAUCUGUAAUUAUGAAAGUCCAAAAGUGUUGUAGUUAAAUACUUAUCAGUUAAUUCGUUAGUAAUUUCUGUACGUAAUUUUGGAAACAGCAAUGUCUGGUGUAUUGUUAUACAGUGUAGACUCGCCUUAAAACAACUGUGCAAUAAACCUGUAGACAACCGUAUCCUCGUCUGCGUGACACAGAGGUGUGGGGAAUGACGACAAAGAGAAGCGGCAGGCGUAUUCGUAUAGAAACGACCUUCACCCAUCUGUUUAGUGUGGAUGAAAAGUGUUUUAUAUCAAAUUUAAUAUGUUAAAAAAUAUAUUACGAUAAGAUUGUAUAAAAAAUUCCUGGUUAAACUAUUAAUGACCAUUAUAAACCAUCAUUAAUGAUAGUUUGGCCAGGAGCUUUUCAUCCAAUAAACAGAUGAGUGAAGGUCGUUUUUAAUUCGGAUCGUCUAUUAUUAAGAGAAACGCGUCUCCCUAUUCUAUCGACAUACCUGCACCCCUGUAAUGCGCGAAAGAGGACUGAAUUUUGCGGUUUGUCUGUAAUUUACAUUUGAUGAAGGUAGCUUUGCAUGAUAUCAGAGACAUAGAUUACAAUAUUAUUUUUGCUUGUAACUAUUGUAAAUCUUCAAUGAAGAAGUAUUCUUUAUUCAAGAUUUGCUUUACUUAUUAUAAAGCACGACUCCUAAUUUGUGUCUUUUUUGUAGCUUCAAUAUUAUGUGAAACAAAGUGUUAUACAGUUACAACUGUCACCAUUGUGAAACUAACAUAACCGUUAGUUUCACAAUGGUGAAAAUCUGUUACAUUAUGUUGUUAUGUAACAAAUGGAAUGUAAUAUUGUUACAAAUGCAUAUUAAAGAUUUUGAUUGCCUAUUUUGAUCUGGCUUUUUUAAUGAAUUUUAUAGUAAUACAAUUGUUUGUUAUAUUUAUUUUACGUUAAUCAAAUGCGAGUUUAUAUUACAUGCGAUUUUACAUCAGUAAAAAAAUAAUUUGCUUCGUCUUUUUAAAAUAUAUAUCUAGAAAUGUACUCCUUAUAUUUUAAGCUUAUUUUCCUUAUAUUGUUGGUUAUUUGUCCAAAAUAGCUAAAUUAUCCAUAUAAACAUUAGAUAUUGCACUAAUAAAGUUCAUUUUUUAUUUAGUAAUUUUAAAAUACAUUCAUUGGAAAAAUAUGUAAUAAAAAUUAUUUUACACAGCCAUUCGCUGUGUAAAAUAACGAAAUUUUAUUCUCUUUAAUCUACGCAAACUGUUUGUUGGUUUGCUUACAGUUAUUAUUUUAAUUUCAAAAGCGUUUGGAAGUUAGACAGACUUUUGUAUAGAAUAAUACAUUAAAUACUUUAUUUCUAUUGAAAAUCCUACAUAACAUACAAAAUCAUGCAAGUCAGUAUAAAGAUCUCUCAGAAUGAUACACGAAAAACUCCUAGAAUUGCAAAUUUUCUUCGUUUGGAUGUUCGUUAUAUGUACCUACUCGUAUAUCACCAACAAAUGAUUAUCAGUAAUCACCACUAUCAUUACCGCAUUCCGGAAAAUCAGCAAAAGUUAGCAAAGUUUAAUUGGACUACAAAGUGGAAAAAAGUAAAUUUCGCAGUUUGUAUGAGUUUAAUAUGUAUUUUUAACUUUCCUAUGGUUUUAAUUUCAGGCAAUACUCUAUAAUCAUUAGUUGUGUAGCUAAAUUUUUGAAUUACGACCCCAAACCAUUAGAAAUUAGUCGGUCACUGUCCAACAAAAACACAAAUUGUCUGUUAUGGUUUUAUUCUCACCAACGGUCUGUCUAACAACCUUGUUUAUAUAUGUAGGGCAGCUUGUUAUAUACAGGAUGUCCCGUAAUUAAUGAAUACAACGCAAAUGGUGGAUACAUCACCUAAAUAUCUAAAACUAAUUUUCUACAGACUAUUCAAAUUAGUUUUAUAUAAAUUAGGUGGUGUGCCUACCAUUUGUGUUUUAUCCAUUACUUACAGGACAACCUGUAACCUGUAAGUUCAGAAAUGAUUUAAGUGAAAAAUAACAAUUCUAAAAUAUCAUUAAAGCAUAUUAUUAACGUAAAUAUUUAACUAGACAAGCAAUAACAAAAUAUAUCUAAUACUAUAAUGUGUAUGGAAGCGAGUGAUGUAUUUGUAAAACCUACUCAUUGGUUCGGUUUAAGCUUUUUGAGCCACGCUUACGCUGCGUCUUACGUCCGACCUUAUCUAGCAAGUUUCAUUAAUAACACUCCCACUGCGGGCGACGGGGGGAAAGACUGCGCGGAUGUGAAAUGCGUGCGUGCGGGUUAGUGAUGUGCAUCAGUCGUGGGGUUUUCAUUCAUCGCUACAUGCCGUCCGCCCCGCGCGGAACAUUGGAAGUGUUACGAAUGAAGUUGCCAAGCUAUAGGGUUGUUUGUGGUCGGGGGCAGGACACAAUAUAGAUGUUAACUUUGACAUUCAACGGAAUAUGGGAUUUUCAUCACAAUAAGGAAUAUGUUCCUAUACUGAUUAUAUCAAAAACUCUAUUUUAAAAAUAUUUAGCAAAGCUGAAUGUAUUACAAAAUAAUAAAUUACCACAAUUAUUUAGUUGACUGUUUGAUGAUAUGAAUAAAAAAAGCUAUUGAGUUACUAAAAUGCACUUGACUGGUGAGUAGGUAAUCUGAGGUCAUUUGUACAUUGCAACAAGCGAUGGGCUGCAAACUUUAAAUUAUUGUAGCCCAAUGAUACAAAAAUAAACUUGAGACAAUGAGAGUAAAGUAAGCCUGUCCGCCGGCCGUGACUUCUCCUGCCCAGGCUUUGGCUGAGUUUUUUACUUAAGUAAAAACCGCAGCCUCCGGCCGCGCGCAUUUUUACUCUCCAACCAUAACUAAGUUUCGCAACCUCCCAUUCAUCUAAUCGGCAUAUUCCUCCACGUCUCUAGUGAUUGUUAUUUCUGUAUCUUGUAACGUAUUAUAGGUUGUGCCAAAGUUCUAGGUCGCAUUCGUGAUGGACAUUUGGUGGCACCAUUAUUUUACAUUCAUUGAAUGUUCUGAAGUUUUUACCUCGCACUUUACCUUCAACGUUCGUUCGCAUAUCAGAAAAAUGUCAAUAAUUCUUGGUGCGUCAAAUGUGCAUUCUCCUUUUACAACACCACAGAAAACGAAGUUCCACCAAUGCGUAUAAUGCGUUCCAAUUUGCGUUUUGCGUCCAAUCACAAAGUCACUUUGGUCAAGACUCUGUGUUUGGUGAAAUACAAAUUAUAACGCAACCGUUGAUGUAACAUUGGAGUGGUUUUCUGUUUAUAACUCCACUAUCUAACUAAUGUAACAAUUAUUGUCAAACCUAAUGAUAUAUUAUAAAACCGCAUUUGUUGAUUUUGUAUUAUCUCAAUGUCUGGUGCUUAUCCUAGCUAAAAUGCGCAAUCCCUUGAUAAAAACCGUGGCUGUCGUUUUAUGUAAUAGCUUCUAUUAAUACAUUUUGCAAAUCGUCAAAAUUGUGUGCGUGAAUUGCAUAUAUUGCAUACGCAAGCUUUUGGAAUAUAAAAUAGAAGCUAAAGUUACUUAAGUUCCAAACGUAGAAUAAACAUUUUACUAUAAAUGUACUAAUAAUUACUACUUUACAUCAGUAAGCCGGAUACUGAACAAUAAGAGAUCAAAAUGUGAUGACUUCUAAAGCUGCUCUGGCUUUUUAGAAACUGAAGUAAAAGUUGUAAUGUGGGUCCCAUGGGUAUCAUGUUUUAGCUGAUAAUAUUAAAAAUUUCAUGUGCAUUGUACCUACAUUAUUGUUAAUUUUAGAUACAUGGCUAAUGUAUGCAUAAUUAUGAUUACAUCCAUUAUCAAGUUAGCAUUGGAAAGUUAAAUACUAUCGCAACUUGAGCCAGGAUAAGCAUUUAAUUAACCAAGGAUUUAACAUGAAAAAAUCCUUCCCGCCUUCUGAUAAGUGUCAAAUAAUCUAAUCGUAAGUUUUGUCAUAUUCUUACAUGUCAAAUGGCAAAGACAGAACUUGAAAAUACGCUAUUAUACAAUUAUCUGAAGAUGGUGAGACUGGCUUUAAAUCUAUAGGGCGGUUUAAAAAUCUUUAGGGUUGAUGGUUUUUAUGCCUAUAAAAUCUUUGCUCCUGAGUGCAGUAGAACUUUGGUGCGCCUCAAAAUGGCCUCAGAUAUGUAGAGUAUUGUGUCAUGUACAUUCCAGUUGCACAGUUAGUCUCACUUAGAAUAAUUAUGGAGUAAUUGUCGAGUGUUCGUGCGCGGGCUGUUUCACGUGUAAACUAUCACUAUGUAUAGGAUUCACUUAAAUAAAUUAAUUGUAUUACA